CAGCAUUCCGCCUGAAAAGCUGAACAGAAUACUCAACUUAGCGCUGUGUUUCGAAUGGUAGCAAAGAUGUAGGGAUAGUAAAAAUAUGACGUUAAGUGUGUUGAAUAAUUUUUGAGUAGCGCAGGAACUAUAAUUGUAUAUUCAUUUGCGUUUUGGUAACCAACUUGCAUGUGGCAUAACUUAGCCGCCUACAUUGUGAGCAGACGUCACUAAAUUUAAACGACUUAUUUAGCAAAAAAUAAGUAAAAUUAUUGUUUAUUAUCAUUGGCAACGGGAUUGUUAAAGGUAGUUAUUUAACAAUAAUGGACAAAGGAGAUUGCAAUCAUUCGACACACGCUCUAAGUGUUUCUUAGUGUUAGUGAUCUUGCUCACAUGUACUUACUCGGGGUGGAAAACAAUUUGUUAUUUGUGGAUGCAUAAAUAACAAGCUAUUGUAAUAUAUCUGUACGAAGUAAUAACGAUUGUGCAAGCUAGUGUUUUGUUUUUGGUCUUGCAAUUACAACAACAUCAUUCUGAAACAAGUGGGAGAUGCUGGCAAAGGCUUUUGGAAAGUUGUGCUUAUUUUACUUAUACCAAUGAAAAUACUACAAAAUUUAAAUAUUGUUUCAAAUAAAAGCUGCAUUCGUUUCUUUUUAA
Molecule: long non-coding RNA, 636 nt
Organism: Stomoxys calcitrans (stable fly)
Lineage: Eukaryota; Metazoa; Arthropoda; Insecta; Diptera; Muscidae
Exons: 4
Source: RefSeq, a predicted model, not a curated record